GGGGCUGUGGCGCAGUUGGGAGCGCGCUUGAAUCGCACUCAAGAGGUCGGGGGUUCGAAUCCCCCCAGCUCCACCA
Molecule: transfer RNA, 76 nt
Filed under: Nitrospinaceae bacterium
Lineage: Bacteria; Pseudomonadati; Nitrospinota; Nitrospinia; Nitrospinales; Nitrospinaceae
Also listed under: 1 other name
Description: tRNA-Ala
Rfam family: tRNA
About the family: Transfer RNA (tRNA) molecules are approximately 80 nucleotides in length. Their secondary structure includes four short double-helical elements and three loops (D, anti-codon, and T loops).
Source: RNAcentral